This 268-nucleotide long non-coding RNA is filed under the name Mytilus galloprovincialis (Mediterranean mussel). The record is from RNAcentral. Lineage: Eukaryota; Metazoa; Mollusca; Bivalvia; Mytilida; Mytilidae.
CAACAUCCCAACCCCUAAACCACAUAUAUUCUUGUAUGGGACAAUAAAACAAAUCAAAUGAAAUGUAGGUAAAGUCUCUGGGGGUUACCACCACCCCGUCCUGUUUGAAUAUUUGUAAAUGGUGGAGAUCCCCACCCGUAAGCCAUAUAUAUUCUUGUAUUGGACAAAAAAUCAAAUCAAAUGAACAUGGGACCAUAUAAAUGGCGAGUUAUGGGAGCUUAGUUUGGGAGACUUCGUAACAGCAUCCUGUUACAAUUACUUCUUGUUA